CAUUUUGUCUACAAGUUAUUACACCUGAAAACGUGGACCCUCAUUGUGUAACCAUGAGAAAGUGAUUUAAACUCUCAAGGUUAAUUCUCUUAGUGCCCCACCUGGAUCCUCUUUACAGGCAGUGCGCCCACCCCCUGGCUGCUGUUUGUGUUGCCUGAUGACAAUUCACAGCUGCCCCUACUCCUGAAAAUAGUCCUCAGCCAAAUAGAAGUCUCCUUGCCCAGGAGGCAACACCCGCUACUGCCCAGGGCAGAUCUCAGCCAAUGGCAGCAGACUUAAUGGGACAAAAAGCUGGCCCCCUUGCCUGAAGCUGGGCUUAGUUUUACGGUGAAACUCCAGCCUCUCUGUGGAAUCAAACUGAAACUAAUCUUUAGCAGUCUUGUUGCUCAGGAACCAAACUUUAAGACAGCUGGCAUCAGAAAUGGUCUCAGGAAGCUGACUCUGAGGAUGGGAUUCUGGAGUUGGCUUGCUUGCUGGCUGGAUGGCAAUGAAGACCCCAUAGCUGAAGUGCCUAUUACGUACUGGCCAACUGGAAUGAGAGUUCGAAGAAGCCAUUCCACAGCUGUGUGUAUCUAGGAUGAAGGAGGAGCCUGUCAGAGGAGAAGGCAAUGUGAUGCUAGAAGCAGAGGUUGGAGGGGAUACACUUUGAAGAUGGAGGAAGGGGCCACAAGCCAAGGGAUACAGGCAGCCACUAGAAGCUAAAAAAGGCAAGGAAGUGAAUUCUCCCUUAGAGACUCCAGAAGGAACCAGCCCUGCUAACACCUUGACUUUGGCCCAUCGAAACUGGUUUUUGGACUUUUGACCUCCAGAACUAUCAAGACUAAAUUUAUAUUAUUUUAAGGCACUAGUUUGUAGAAUUUGUUGCAGGAGCAAAAGGAAACUAAUAUACCAUCUCAACUCAUUUAAUGCUGACUAGUUGGAAACCACAGAUUGAUAUGUCAGUGAGACACACCAUCCAGUCUCAAAUCAUGUCUAUCCCUCUCCUGAAUGGAUUUCUCAGUUCUGUCCACUUUUUCCAUCUCUGCUGUUGCUGUCCUAGCCCAGGCCCCUCUCACCUGCUCUACUAUAAUGGAUUUCUCCCCUUCAAAUCCCAUUCUCUUUCUUUUAGCCAAAGUGGUUAUGUUUUGUUUUGUUUUUACAAAUCAGACCAUGUCAUUCCUCUGCUUCAGACCGACCUAGUGGCUGCUCACUGCCCUCAGGAUAAAGCCUCAGGGAUAAACAGAGUCACUAGGUUGAAAGGCUCCUCACUGCUUGCAGACGCUCUGGGAAACAGGCCCUGUUGGGCUCUACAGCACUCAGUUCAGGGGUUUAUGUGGGCUGGACUGUGUUAGGCUGGGGAGGGUGUGGGGUUGAGGGUGAUAAAUGGGGACUGUCCUCCAGCCUGAGGGUUCUGCUCUUCACAAGCUCUGUCACCAUAGUGUGACUUCAAAAUAAAUGAGGUGCGCUGGCGGAGACAUACCCUGUCACUUCUCCAGAUUCACCUACAUGGAGAACGGCUUCAGUGUCAUGUUUGUGAGCAGGAUCUAGAGGAGAUGGCUCAGCCUCCACAGGGUCUGCUGUGACCCUUGCUCACUCACAUUGUCAUCUUCAGCUGUGUACCCCCAGUGUGGGAAUAUGGUGGCCAGAAGCUUGUAUCUCUGGAUGUCUUGGAGAAUGUUAUUUCUCUGCAGUGUACACUGACUAUCCAGACAUUCUUCUUUAUCCUUUGGGUAAGCAAGCUCAGUUUGCCUUACUCAUGUGAUAUCUGUAUCUAGUCUUCUCAUGAUUUAAGACUUGCCAUUUGCCAACACAGUAGUCAUGUGAAGGCUAAGCUCUGAACGUGGUUUAUGAGCUCUCCCUUAAUGCUCCAGUUUAUCCCUUAAAAUGCUCUCUCAAAUCUCUGCUCUUGAACUAUAGCAAGCUACUUUCUCCCACGCCUCUACCUGGCGCUCUUUUCCCCAUCCUUGUGGCCCAGCUAACCUGUGUCACUCUUCAGCCUUCAGCCCAAAUAUCAGUUCUCCCAGGAAGCCAUUCCUGACUCCCCAAGUUACCCCUAGGGUUUCUACAGUACUUUGAAAGUUCCCCACCCUGACAAGAAUCACACUAUGGUGCAGUGGGUUUUUUUGUUGUCUGUAGCUUCCAUUAGGCUGUCAACAACUCAAGGCCACUACUUCACCUGGCUUGUUCACUAUUGAAGCCCUAGUGCUUGGCACCAUGGUACAUGAUUAAUACACUUAAUGAAUGAGUGAAUGGAUCCAUAAUACUAGCAAUCAUGUUUUACUGAAAGCCUGCUAUAUGAUAGGCACUACGCCAGGUACUCUGUGUGCGUAUAUAUAUGUGUGUGCGCACACACACAAGUGUACAAUCUCUAAUCCUAAGUACAACCAUGCAAGGCUGAUCUUGUUAUCCUAAUGCUAUAGUUGAGAAAACCAAGGGUUAGAGGCUAAGUCACAGAGCUGGGGUCACUAUUCGAUGCAUAGCUGGGAUUUGGAUCCAGGUCUACCUGUCGCUUUAUGUCAGCAUAUUUACUGAGCUGUAUUUA
Long non-coding RNA from Equus caballus (horse), 2521 nucleotides. Lineage: Eukaryota; Metazoa; Chordata; Mammalia; Perissodactyla; Equidae. The record is from Ensembl.